RNAcentral lists this unclassified non-coding RNA (1366 nucleotides) under uncultured Neocallimastigales. RNAcentral's name for it is "partial contains internal transcribed spacer 1, 5.8S ribosomal RNA, internal transcribed spacer 2, and large subunit ribosomal RNA". The stretch from base 594 to 1366 matches the Rfam family "Eukaryotic large subunit ribosomal RNA", at positions 1 to 634 of the family's 3401-position model. The record is from RNAcentral. Lineage: Eukaryota; Fungi; Neocallimastigomycota; Neocallimastigomycetes; Neocallimastigales.
AAAAUAAUCCUACCCUUUGUGAAUUUUGUUUGUUUGAAUAAUUUUUUUUUUUAAAAAAUUAUUGGAGUCUUUCCCUUUAGAGUUUGCUUUUGAGUUUGUAAAAGAAUUCGAAAACAUCUAAAGGGGAUGGUCAAUAAUUUUUUUGAAAAAAGACAUUUUUUAAAAUUAAACUUUUGUAUUCAUUUGUCUAAAAAUUAUUUUUAUAAUAUAAAAACAACUUUUGACAAUGGAUCUCUUGGUUCUCGCAACGAUGAAGAACGCAGCAAAAUGCGAUAAGUAGUGUGAAUUGCAGAAUACGUGAAUCAUCGAAUCUUUGAACGCAUAUUGCACUUUUUUAGUUUACUAAAAAAGUAUGUCUGUUUGAGUAUCAGUAAAAUAUUCUCAUAAAAAUCAUUGUGUAUUUUUAUGGUUAUGAGUGUUUUACAACGAUACAAGUUGUUUCACUUUAAAUUUUUUUUAAUAUUGAAAUUUUUCUAAUUUUAAUAAUUAAAAUUGGAUAAAAUUUUCCCGUCAAAAGGAAUAACCUAAACAAUUUUAAAUGAUUAAUUUUAGCAAAAUUUUCGAAAAAAAGGAAAAUUUUUAUUAAAAUAACUUGAUCUCAAAUCAGAUAAGAGUACCCGCUGAACUUAAGCAUAUCAAUAAGCGGAGGAAAAGAAACUAACAAGGAUUCCCUUAGUAACGGCGAGUGAAGCGGGAAGAGCUCAAAUUUGAAAUCUUCAAGGUUUUACCUUGACGAAUUGUAGUUUAAAGAAGUGUUUUCUGCUGAAGUUUUGGUAAAAGUUCUUUGGAAUAGGACAUCAUAGAGGGUGAGAAUCCCGUAUUUGACCAUUAUUUUCAGCUUUGUGAUACACUUUCAAAGAGUCGGAUUGUUUGGGAAUGCAGUCCAAAAUGGGUGGUAAAUUUCAUCUAAAGCUAAAUAUUGGCGAGAGACCGAUAGCGAACAAGUACCGUGAGGGAAGAUGAAAAGAACUUUGAAAAGAGAGUUAAACAGUACGUGAAAUUGUCAAAAGGGAAGCGUUUGACACCAGCGUUGUUUUCUCGAAAAUCAAUUAAAAAUGGCUCGAUUUGUAUUGCUGAGACCUUAAAAGCUCACUGUACAUUUUUCGUGUCUUUUUUAAUGCACUUUUCGUUUAACAAGUCAACAUCAGUUUCUUUUGUUGUAAAAGGGUCAUUGGAAGGUGGCUUUCUUUUCGGAGAAAGUGUUUAUAGCCUUUGGCCUCUGCAAUCGAAGAGACUGAGGUCUGCAGCGUAGACUCUUCGGGGUUAGAUACAUUUGUGCUAAGUUAUAGCUUUUUAUAGACAACUUGUUGACUAUAAUUAGUCUUGUAGCUUACUCGCUUAUGCUAUUUUACCUACGCUUAGGAUG